UACGUAGGGGGCUAGCGUUGUUCGGAUUUACUGGGCGUAAAGCGCACGUAGGCGGAUCGUUAAGUCGGGGGUGAAAUCCUGGAGCUCAACUCCAGAACUGCCUUCGAUACUGGCGAUCUUGAGUCCGGAAGAGGUGAGUGGAACUCCUAGUGUAGAGGUGGAAUUCGUAGAUAUUAGGAAGAACACCAGUGGCGAAGGCGGCUCGCUGGUACGGUACUGACGCUGAGAUGCGAAAGCGUGGGGAGCAAACAGG
Molecule: ribosomal RNA, 253 nt
Filed under: uncultured bacterium
Lineage: Bacteria
Description: partial 16S ribosomal RNA
Rfam family: Bacterial small subunit ribosomal RNA
Source: RNAcentral